RNAcentral lists this small nuclear RNA (107 nucleotides) under Moschus moschiferus (Siberian musk deer). Lineage: Eukaryota; Metazoa; Chordata; Mammalia; Artiodactyla; Moschidae. The record is from RNAcentral.
GUGCUCACUUCAGCAGCAUAUGUACUAAAAUUGAAACAAUACAGAAAAGAUUAGCAUGGCCCCUGCACAAGGAUGAUAUGCAAAUUCAUAAAUCGUUCCAUAGUUUC